GCCUGGGUGGCUCAGUCGGUUAAGCGUCUGACUUCAGCUCAGGUCAUGAUCUCACAGUCUGUGAGUUUGAGCCCCACAUCAGGCU
RNAcentral lists this transfer RNA (85 nucleotides) under Felis catus (domestic cat). It matches the Rfam family "tRNA". From Rfam's summary of the family: Transfer RNA (tRNA) molecules are approximately 80 nucleotides in length. Lineage: Eukaryota; Metazoa; Chordata; Mammalia; Carnivora; Felidae. The record is from Rfam by way of RNAcentral.